UACGUAGGGUGCAAGCGUUGUCCGGAAUUAUUGGGCGUAAAGAGCUCGUAGGCGGUCUGUCGCGUCGGCUGUGAAAACCCGGAGCUCAACUCCGGGCCUGCAGUCGAUACGGGCAAACUGGAGUGUUGCAGGGGAGACUGGAAUUCCUGGUGUAGCGGUGAAAUGCGCAGAUAUCGGGAGGAACACCAAUGGCGAAGGCAGCUCGCUGGGACGUUACUGACGCUGAGACGCGAAAGCGUGGGGAGCGAACAGG
Molecule: ribosomal RNA, 253 nt
Filed under: uncultured bacterium
Lineage: Bacteria
Description: partial 16S ribosomal RNA
Rfam family: Bacterial small subunit ribosomal RNA
Source: RNAcentral